This 22-nucleotide microRNA is filed under the name Pristionchus pacificus. Its description in RNAcentral is "ppc-miR-2271". The record is from miRBase by way of RNAcentral. Lineage: Eukaryota; Metazoa; Nematoda; Chromadorea; Rhabditida; Neodiplogasteridae.
AACCCGUAGCCUUACUAUCCGG